Molecule: ribosomal RNA, 253 nt
Filed under: uncultured bacterium
Lineage: Bacteria
Description: partial 16S ribosomal RNA
Rfam family: Bacterial small subunit ribosomal RNA
Source: RNAcentral
GACAGAGGGGGCAAGCGUUGCUCGGAAUCACUGGGCGUAAAGGGCGCGUAGGCGGGAUGGCAAGUCAGUCGUGAAAUCUCUCGGCUCAACCGAGAAACGUCGGCUGAUACUGCCGUUCUUGAGGGAUGCAGAGGAGACUGGAAUUCCCGGUGUAGCGGUGAAAUGUGUAGAGAUCGGGAGGAACACCGGUGGCGAAGGCGGGUCUCUGGGCAUUAACUGACGCUGAGGAGCGAAAGCAUGGGGAGCGAACAGG